Molecule: ribosomal RNA, 334 nt
Filed under: Tubifex tubifex (sludge worm)
Lineage: Eukaryota; Metazoa; Annelida; Clitellata; Tubificida; Naididae
Description: partial 16S ribosomal RNA
Rfam family: Bacterial large subunit ribosomal RNA
Source: RNAcentral
ACCGUGCAAAGGUAGCAUAAUCAUUUGCCUAUUAAUUGUAGGCUAGAAUGAAGGGACAAACGAGAAUAUCCCUGUCUCCUUUAAGACACUAAAAAUUUAUCUUUAAGUGAAGAAGCUUAAAUUUCUAUGCAGGACAAGAAGACCCUGUAGAGCUUUACCUAAAAAUUGCAAUAUCGGCAAAUAAGGGUUCGGUUGGGGCGACCAGGGGAUAUUUAUCACCCCUAAUAACUUAGACCCACCAGUCAUUAAAAGAUCCUUACUUAAGAUCAACGAAUCAAGCUACCUUAGGGAUAACAGGCUAAUCCUCUUAGAGAGCCCUUAUCGACAAGAGGGG